Molecule: ribosomal RNA, 253 nt
Filed under: uncultured Parabacteroides sp.
Lineage: Bacteria; Pseudomonadati; Bacteroidota; Bacteroidia; Bacteroidales; Tannerellaceae
Description: partial 16S ribosomal RNA
Rfam family: Bacterial small subunit ribosomal RNA
Source: RNAcentral
UACGGAGGAUCCGAGCGUUAUCCGGAUUUAUUGGGUUUAAAGGGUGCGUAGGCGGCCUUUUAAGUCAGCGGUGAAAGUCUGUGGCUCAACCAUAGAAUUGCCGUUGAAACUGGGGGGCUUGAGUAUGUUUGAGGCAGGCGGAAUGCGUGGUGUAGCGGUGAAAUGCUUAGAUAUAACUUAGAACUCCGAUAGCGAAGGCAGCUUACCAGACUGCGACUGACGCUGAGGCUCGAAAGUGUGGGUAUCAAACAGG